This 574-nucleotide long non-coding RNA is filed under the name Penaeus japonicus. RNAcentral describes it as "uncharacterized LOC122250567". Lineage: Eukaryota; Metazoa; Arthropoda; Malacostraca; Decapoda; Penaeidae. The record is from RNAcentral.
AAAAAGAGUAAAUAUCAUUAAUCCUUCGUCGUUUUCCUCCCGCAGGAUAAGAGUACGCAUGUGCCCUCCUCCUCCUCCUUCGCCAGCGCCUCAAAGAGUGAUGGACGCCUCCCAGAGACUUCACCCUUCGGACUCUUCGGAGCGUCGGCAUGGGGCGCGGAUCGCUUGGGUUACUUGUCACCGUUUGCCUACGCUUACACCAACGGCACUUCGGCAAUGGUAAGCGAGAUGACUAAUACAAGUGCGAGGACAGAGGUAUUGUAAUCUUUCUGAAUUUUGAAGUGUUAUUCAAUUUACAGUUUUAGUUCAUUAUUUUUUGACUUGUGGGGUUGAUAACGGGAGAGUUGGUGAGCGAUCUCACGCGAUAGGCGAACCGCCGGGUGUCUGAUGGGCUUAAAGUGAAACAGCUCUUGCGGGUUCUGCUUGCCCCCUGCCUUCGCCUCGGCGCUAGGUGCGGAGCGAAGGAUACUGGGGAUGAAAAGGAAUGUAAAUGGGCUAAAGGAGGACACGAGAACGCACGCGCAUAUGCACAAGUACACGCACACGCGUACGCAUACGCAUACAUAUACAUAUA